CGGGCUUGCACCCCGCUGGGCAAAGUACCCGGGGCUGUCACACGGCGAGCUGAGCCCUGGGCCGGCGGGGACGCAUGAGACAUUUGGUGCCGAAGACCUGGGUCAGCGGGACUCCUUUGGGAGACCAGUCCCCCAUCCUCACCCUCACUCUGUGAAGAGAUCCACCUACGACCUUGGGUCCUCAGACCAACCAGCCUAAGGAACAUCUCACCUAUUUUAAAUCGGACAGGAAUGUCAGGCCUCUGAACCCAAGCUAAGCCAUCA
RNAcentral lists this long non-coding RNA (264 nucleotides) under Homo sapiens (human). RNAcentral's name for it is "HSALNT0311181". Lineage: Eukaryota; Metazoa; Chordata; Mammalia; Primates; Hominidae. The record is from RNAcentral.